RNAcentral lists this ribosomal RNA (484 nucleotides) under uncultured bacterium. RNAcentral describes it as "partial 16S ribosomal RNA". It matches the Rfam family "Bacterial small subunit ribosomal RNA", at positions 30 to 507 of the family's 1533-position model. The record is from RNAcentral.
AUUGAACGCUGGCGGCAGGCCUAACACAUGCAAGUCGAGCGGAUGAAGGGAGCUUGCUCCUGGAUUCAGCGGCGGACGGGUGAGUAAUGCCUAGGAAUCUGCCUGGUAGUGGGGGAUAACGUCCGGAAACGGGCGCUAAUACCGCAUACGUCCUGAGGGAGAAAGUGGGGGAUCUUCGGACCUCACGCUAUCAGAUGAGCCUAGGUCGGAUUAGCUAGUUGGUGGGGUAAAGGCCUACCAAGGCGACGAUCCGUAACUGGUCUGAGAGGAUGAUCAGUCACACUGGAACUGAGACACGGUCCAGACUCCUACGGGAGGCAGCAGUGGGGAAUAUUGGACAAUGGGCGAAAGCCUGAUCCAGCCAUGCCGCGUGUGUGAAGAAGGUCUUCGGAUUGUAAAGCUCUUUAAGUUGGGAGGAAGGGCAGUAAGUUAAUACCUUGCUGUUUUGACGGUACCAAAAGAAUAAGCACCGGCUAACUUCGUG